Molecule: transfer RNA, 76 nt
Filed under: Anaeroplasma bactoclasticum
Lineage: Bacteria; Bacillati; Mycoplasmatota; Mollicutes; Anaeroplasmatales; Anaeroplasmataceae
Also listed under: 5 other names
Description: tRNA-Ala
Rfam family: tRNA
About the family: Transfer RNA (tRNA) molecules are approximately 80 nucleotides in length.
Source: RNAcentral
GGGGUUUUAGCUCAGCUGGGAGAGCGCCUGUUUUGCACGCAGGAGGUCAGCGGUUCGAUCCCGCUAAGCUCCACCA